AUCCUCAUCUCUGCUCAUUUCCUGUUGGUGUCAAGAUGUAAGGACUCACCAUGAUGAUGUUGUCAUAUGUGUUCUCCUUUGGCAGCAUCAGCACACCAAGAAUCCAGAAGUAAUCCACUAUAAAUCCAGGAAAGAAAUGGGAAGAAAACUGCCAAGUAUUUGCUUCUACACCCAUGGUAUCGUUUGGAGCAUGGGCCUGGAGACAAGGUGCACAACCAUCCCCCAGGGCUUCUUGCCAUACACAACUCUCCAUGCAAGCCCUUCCCUUGGUAUAAUGAUGAUACAUGGUUUUCUAGUGAAAGCAAACUCAUCAAUAGAUGAACCACAAGGAAAAAAACAACAACAGUAGUAGCAGUAUAAACCUAUUAUUUAAAAAUAGCAAUGCUUUGGGCUGAUACUUGAUGCAUUGAAACUGGGCAUGGCUAGCAUUUUAUGCACAUGUGUACUCAAGCAACAGACACACAGAGAACAGCAUCUAUUUCUGACCACUUAGCAGCUCUCUUUCCCCACCUCCAGUUUGCAACACACUGUUUUGAGAAAAAUCUGUGAUUAUUGUUAAAUUGGCAUGUGUAUCAGAAGUGCCUGGUCAAGGGACACAUCUCUCAGCUUGUAUAUGUAUGUGUGACUUCUAUUCAGAAAAUGGGCAUUGUUAUUAUUAAGCAUAAGGCAUAAAAAAUGUAAUAGCAACAAAUGCCAUUCCAAGAUAUUACAUUCUUGAAAUUUAAUCAAGGAUCUUUUCAAGAGCAGACCUUUAAAUCUCACUGAAAAUCUUGUUCUAUCUAUAAAGAGAUCACUCCUCUGUGCCCCCAAUGAGAACCGACUCUCCAGAUAUCCAAGGCUUUAUUACAGAGAUCAGUUCUGAACUCAUCAAGUUAAUAGUAACAACAAAAGUCCUGACAUUGAAAUUGAAAGCCUUUGAAAAUGAUCAGCUCCUUGCUGAAGUACGUAAAAAUAAUGGCUAUAAAAAGGGCUUUAGAUUUUUGAAGGAUCUUUACUGGAUCCUUAGCUGAGAAUUCUUAGCAGUGACACUAAUACAUCAUAAUUAACUGCUUUUCCUUCUGAACCUCUCAGCGUCAUCCAUGCUAUUUACUCAAAGAAAGGAAGGAAGAGGAGCACUGGACUGGUAAAAAAUAGACACAUUCAGUGACCUCUUUGUUUCAGAACAGUCACUGUCUAGGGCUGUUCCUACCAUUAGGCAGUGAGAGGCUGCUGCUUCAACUAGCAGAUGCAAGGGGGCAUGGAGAUGUAGUGACAUACUGGCAGGCAGAGCUGGAGUUGAUUGAUUCUUGUGCCAAGCACAUCAUUGGUGUCAGUUCCAUGAGAAACACAUAUUUGUACACUAUCAGUCCUUGCCAUGGUGCGGCUUCAUUUAACCACAUUGAUACAACACAGAGAUAUUGUAUACUGACUGAAAAAAAUGAUUCUUAUAUGGAAGAUAUUAGAUUGAAAAAAAAAUACCUUCAAAGGUACCUAUGAUUGUAAUGGUUGCAAAAUGCCCUUCCUUUUGAAUCCUGUACAUUUAAUCCGUGGCUCUGGCAAAUAGCUGGCUCAUCCAUAAUUUCCCAGAACCGAACCUGAAAGCCUUCAGAUCAGCCCACCUAUUUGACAUGGUGGGGAAGGAUACUUUUAGCAGGAGAGAGAGUGAUAUGCAAGAGAUUUAGUACUAGGAGGCAUGUGUCAAAAGUGAAAUCUUUCAUGCCUCAAGCAAGUUGCUUUCUUUCUCUGUGACUUCUUUUGAAUGGGGGUCAUUAAGGCAAGGCAGUGCGUUCGUGUGCUGCGAACUGUCAUGGUUUCACUUGCAAGCGAGAGGUAGGAAAGAAUAAUAAAUCAGGAGUUGAAGGUCUGUCA
Molecule: long non-coding RNA, 1848 nt
Organism: Pogona vitticeps (central bearded dragon)
Lineage: Eukaryota; Metazoa; Chordata; Lepidosauria; Squamata; Agamidae
Source: Ensembl